CCUUGGGUGAUGGUUCAGAA
Molecule: non-coding RNA, 20 nt
Filed under: Arabidopsis thaliana (thale cress)
Lineage: Eukaryota; Viridiplantae; Streptophyta; Magnoliopsida; Brassicales; Brassicaceae
Source: RNAcentral